This is a non-coding RNA of Acanthosepion pharaonis, 114 nucleotides long. NCBI's taxonomy places the organism in Eukaryota, Metazoa, Mollusca, Cephalopoda, Sepiida, Sepiidae. The record is from the annotation of a GenBank genome assembly.
UUACGACCACAUCACGUUGAAACACUGUUUUCCGUACAAUCACCGAAGUUAAGCAACGUCAAGCCUGCCGUGUAGUUAGAUGGGUGACCGCUUGGUAAUACCAGGUGCUGUAAG